CCCCUCUCAGGAUCGCUCCUGGAGAAUUUCCAGUACUCCACCAGUCUUGGCUAUGGGAGGGAGAGUCAAGCAGAGGCCUACCCAUUCCAUUCCUAGCUCGAGAUGUGGUUAGCUAGUGGAAGGCAAUCUGCUACAAGU
Small nucleolar RNA from Ornithorhynchus anatinus (platypus), 138 nucleotides. The record is from RefSeq and is a predicted model, not a curated record. Lineage: Eukaryota; Metazoa; Chordata; Mammalia; Monotremata; Ornithorhynchidae.